RNAcentral lists this ribosomal RNA (253 nucleotides) under uncultured bacterium. Its description in RNAcentral is "partial 16S ribosomal RNA". It matches the Rfam family "Bacterial small subunit ribosomal RNA", at positions 524 to 776 of the family's 1533-position model. The record is from RNAcentral.
UACGUAGGGGGCAAGCGUUGUCCGGAUUUAUUGGGCGUAAAGAGCGUGUAAGCGGCUUUGCAAGUCCGUUGUGAAAACUCGAGGCUCAACCUCGAGACGCCGGUGGAAACUGCAAAGCUAGAGUCCGGAAGAGGAGAGUGGAAUUCCUGGUGUAGCGGUGAAAUGCGCAGAUAUCAGGAAGAACACCCGUGGCGAAGGCGGCUCUCUGGGACGGUACCGACGCUGAGACGCGAAAGCGUGGGGAGCGAACAGG